CUACGGGGGGCAGCAGUGAGGAAUAUUGCACAAUGGGGGGAACCCUGAUGCAGCAACGCCGCGUGGAGGAUGACGCAUUUCGGUGUGUAAACUCCUUUUAUAUGUCAAGAAAAUGACGGUAGCAUAUGAAUAAGCACCGGCUAACUCCGUGCCAGCAGCCGCGGUAAUACGGAGGGUGCAAGCGUUACUCGGAAUCACUGGGCGUAAAGGACACGUAGGCGGGUUGGAAAGUCAGGUGUGAAAUCCUACAGCUUAACUGUAGAACUGCACUUGAAACUUCUAAUCUAGAGUAUGGAGGGGGAGAUUGAAUUAGUGGUGUAGGGGUAAAAUCCGUAGAUAUCACUAGGAAUACCUAAAGCGAAGGCGAUCUCCUGGAACAUUACUGACGCUAAGGCGUGAAAGCGUGGGGAGCAAACAGGAUUAGAUACCCGUGUAGUC
Molecule: ribosomal RNA, 438 nt
Filed under: uncultured bacterium
Lineage: Bacteria
Description: partial 16S ribosomal RNA
Rfam family: Bacterial small subunit ribosomal RNA
Source: RNAcentral